Molecule: unclassified non-coding RNA, 244 nt
Filed under: Glomeromycetes sp.
Lineage: Eukaryota; Fungi; Glomeromycota; Glomeromycetes
Description: partial contains 5.8S ribosomal RNA and internal transcribed spacer 2
Source: RNAcentral
GUGAAUCAUCAAAUUUUUGAACGCAAAUUGCACUCUCUUCGGAUAGGAGGCCUGUUUGAGGGUCAGUAUUAAUAAAAAUCUGGGUGUUAAUUAUUUGUUACACUCCGGAGUGUGGUGCAUCUUAAUAUCCUUUAGGUUUUAAGAGUCUUAAAAUUAACUUUUUUUGAACAUUUGAGAUGUACAUAAAAUAUUUUUUUUAUACUUCUGUCUUAAUUCUCAAAAUACUAUUAGAUGCGACCAUAUC